RNAcentral lists this ribosomal RNA (403 nucleotides) under bacterium. RNAcentral describes it as "partial 16S ribosomal RNA". It matches the Rfam family "Bacterial small subunit ribosomal RNA", at positions 355 to 776 of the family's 1533-position model. The record is from RNAcentral.
UGGGGAAUAUUGCACAAUGGGGAAAACCCUGAUGCAGCGACGCCGCGUGAACGAAGAAGGUAUUCGUAUCGUAAAGUUCUGUCCUAUGGGAAGAUAAUGACAGUACCAUAGAAGAAAGCUCCGGCUAAAUACGUGCCAGCAGCCGCGGUAAUACGUAUGGAGCGAGCGUUGUCCGGAAUUAUUGGGCGUAAAGGGUACGCAGGCGGUUUAAUAAGUCGAAUGUUAAAGAUCGGGGCUCAACCCCGUAAAGCAUUGGAAACUGAUAAACUUGAGUAGUGGAGAGGAAAGUGGAAUUCCUAGUGUAGUGGUGAAAUACGUAGAUAUUAGGAGGAAUACCAGUAGCGAAGGCGACUUUCUGGAAACAAACUGACGCUGAGGUACGAAAGCGUGGGGAGCAAACAGG